RNAcentral lists this ribosomal RNA (460 nucleotides) under uncultured bacterium. Its description in RNAcentral is "partial 16S ribosomal RNA". It matches the Rfam family "Bacterial small subunit ribosomal RNA", at positions 338 to 795 of the family's 1533-position model. The record is from RNAcentral.
CCUACGGGGGACAGCAGUGAGGAAUAUUGGUCAAUGGACGAGAGUCUGAACCAGCCAAGUAGCGUGAAGGAUGACUGCCCUAUGGGUUGUAAACUUCUUUUAUAUGGGAAUAAAAUGUUCCACGUGUGGGAUUUUGUAUGUACCAUAUGAAUAAGGAUCGGCUAACUCCGUGCCAGCAGCCGCGGUAAUACGGAGGAUCCGAGCGUUAUCCGGAUUUAUUGGGUUUAAAGGGAGCGUAGGUGGAUUGUUAAGUCAGUUGUGAAAGUUUGCGGCUCAACCGUAAAAUUGCAGUGGAAACUGGCAGUCUUGAGUACAGUAGAGGUGGGCGGAAUUCGUGGUGUAGCGGUGAAAUGCUUAGAUAUCACGAAGAACUCCGAUUGCGAAGGCAGUUCACUGGACUGCAACUGACACUGAGGCUCGAAAGUGUGGGUAUCAAACAGGAUUAGAUACCCUUGUAGUC